GAAAUAAAGAAUCAGAAAUAUAUUUUUGGGCAUAAAAAUCCUCCCAAACAGAUUAAACAAGCGACAACAAAACUAUGACCAAUAGAACGAAACGGAGUAAUCAAGUAUUACUGAGACACCCCAAAUAGAACAAUAAAAUAUCAGCUCAAACGAUCAAUAAGAUAGAGAAGCAACCAUCACCAAAACAAAGGAAAGUACGAUAUUAAGCAAAACAACAAAAUAAGGGAGAAAUAGACCUCAAACCGCUAGAACCAUGAACGGAACUCGAACCGGAAACCAAUAGACAGUACCUCGACGCACAAUGAAAUGGACUCCUUGGACAAUGAGCUCCGACGACCUCGAAGCUCGUCGGAAAACUCGAACUAAACUAGAAAGACAAAACAAACGGACUCCAUAAUAGUGACUCGCGAUUCGGAGUUGUUUCGAGCUAUUUCAAGUUGUUUCGAUGGAGGUUUCAGCAGUGGACCAAGGGCACUGAGAUUUACGGUUGGUGGCUAUGGAGAAUUUGGUUCAAGGCUCUGUGAUGUGAAGAAGAUGACUAGGGGUGAGUUGUUGAGCUCUCGUUCCCCAUCUCUCGUCUUUAUUUCUGUCCAUUUCCCCAGCCCCCGCUUUCCCUCGUUCCUCUCGUAUCUCUAUCGUGUAUCUCUGUAGGUGUGUGUGUUUAUCUCUGUAGGUGUGUGUGAAUACUUCUUUUUUGUUUUUUUAAUUUAUUAAAGAAAAAAAGAACUGAAAGGGGAGGCCUGUUAGCAAUCUUAAAGAUUUAGUGAUAGUGGCCGCUAUCUUGUGUAUGAGAGAAAAUCCAGAGGUAAAGGGGGUGGUGCGGCUGGUUUUAGAAGUUAGGUUUAACGUUUGCAAAAUUGGGGAUUUAGGCGAUAAAGAGAAGAAAUUUGGGUGAUUGAAUAAAGUAUUUGGACGGCUAAGAUUGAGGGUUGAUGGGGUGGGUCAGGGAAUUAAAAUAGAGGAAGUGGGCUGCUGAGGUUAAAAUAGUAUUGGGCUCAUAGAGGUUGGUCCGAUUUGGGCCAUCUCUUUGGACUUCUUGAAUUAAGCCAAGACAAAAGUUAGCCCCAAAAUUUAAUUUUCUUUCAAAAAAUAAUAAAUAACAAAACACUAAUAAAAUACAAAUGAACAUUAACUAUAACAAAACUCAUAUUGAAAUGAAAUUAUUUUUGUAUUUUUCUUUAAUUUUAAAUACUACAACAAAAAAAUUAAACUAAUAAAGUGAAAAUAAAAUAGAUUAAAAAUCGAUAAUAACUCAAGUAAAUAUUUAAAAUACAAAAACUAAAUGUGCGGGUCAGAAAUUACGUGCUUACAGCUGCCCCUCUUUUCUUGGAAACUCGAAGAGUUUUUGAGCAAAGAAUUAAGUAAGCAACGUAAUUGACUUCCGACCCGACACUUACUCAAAAGAAAUCAAAGAUUGACAAAAGAUUGUGAACGAGCCCUGGUAUCUAAGCUGCUUACAUAUUCUUGGCUAUAAAGGAAUCAGGCCACGUAUAGUUCGGAGGUAGAAAGAGUGACAGAGUAUACCGAGGUGGAGAGCCGAUUGAGGUGCCAUCGAGGUUCCAGUCCACGGUUCCUGCCAUUACAUCAUGAAUUGAAAGCAAAAAUUAAAGCAAAAUUAAAAGAAAAAUACAAGAUCAUAUCUACUUCUUGUCUUGAAUCUUCCUUGAAUCUCUACUUGAUCCUUCAACAUGAAAUUGAAAAUUUACCUUAUUCUUCAGGUGGCCAUCAUGCUGACUUGAAUUUGAAGAAAACUGGAAAUUGACCCUAUUCUUCAGGCGGGCACCAUGCUGCUUGCACUUGAAAUAAACUUGAACUUGCGGUAGACUUGAGCUUGCAAACCUUGUUCUUCAGGCGGCUUGUGCUACUUCUGGUUUGAAUUGAAAAACUGGAGGUUAACCCUAUUCUUCAUGAGGGAUCCUGCUUCCUCUGAUUUGAACUUGAAAAGUGAAAGUUGACCAUGUUCUUCAGGAAAGCUCCUGAUGCCUCUUAAACUUGAAAAUUGAAAGUUGACCAUGUUCUUCAGGUGGGCUCCUGAUGCCUUCCUGACUUGAAAUUGUAAACUGAAAGUUGACCCUGUUCUUCAGGUGGGAUCCUCCUGAUGCUUCUCUAACUUGAACUUGAAAACUGAACGUUGACCCUGUUCUUCAAGCGGGGUCUUGAUGCUUCUCUGAUUUGAACUUAAAAUCGAUUUCUGAAAUAUUGACCCUGUUCUCCAGGUGGGUGCCUGCAAUCAAAACAACACAACAAAUGAAAUUUUCUGCACCAGUUUGCACUAGGAAGAUUUGUGACUUGUUAGCAAAACUAUAAAUCACUUAUGUUAUUGAUGCAAUGAUGAGAGUAAAACUAAAGACUCGACUAGGAUGUGCGUCUCAUGCGCGUAAAACCAAGAAAAUUUGAUUAGCACAUGUAUCUGCUAAAAUAAAACCUGAAUGACCCAAACUAGGAAGUGUGUCUCCUAAGGAUGAACUCAAACGAACCAAACUAGGAAGUGCGUCUCCUAAAAGAAUAACCUGAAUGUAACGACCCGAACCGUUGUUUCCUGUAUUUUCGUCUCGUAUUCCCCGUUAAAUGCUUAUUCAUGUUUCAAUAUGUGUACUUGGUAAAUUUGAGUCAAUUCGAAUCGAGUUUGGUAUGAAAUGGGACAAUUAGUCUCUUUAAGGAAGAAUUAGUUUGGAAAAGUCAACCGGACAUUGACUUGUGAGUUAGAGGGAUCGGAAUUGAAUUCCGAUGAUUCGUUUAGUUUCGGAGGAUGAUUUAAGGCCUAGGAUCACAAUCGGAAUUAAUUUUGGAGGUCCGGUGAAGAAAUUAGCUCAUUUUGGCGAAGUUAGUAUUUUGGCAAUUUCCGGUUGAUAUGUAAAAAUUUUAUCCGACGGUCGGAAUGGAAUUCCGAGAAUUUCUAUAGCUUCGUUAUGCCAUUUUGGAUAUGUGUGCAAAAUUUCAAGUCAUUCGGACAUAUUUUGGUCGAGGUUUUGAUCGAAUGCUCGUUUUGGAAGUUUUAAAGGAACUAGACUUGAAUUCGAUGUAAUUCGAUAAUUUUGCUAUUAGUCGAGGUGUUUUGAUAAUUGGAACAAGUUUGAAUAAUAUUAUAAGAUGUAUUGGUAUUUUUGGUUGAGGUCCCGAGGACCUCGGGGUGAUUUUGGAUGGCUAAUGGGAACUUUUGAAGUUGGGAAAUUUGAUAAUAGACGAAAUUGUAAAUGAGUGUGCAUAAGACCUCACUUUAAACGACAAUAUCUCCAGUUAUAUAAGGUGUUAUGUGAGGAUAUACCUAUCAAAUUAAAGACCUUUGAGUUUAGUUUCCAACUCAACAAACCGUUUGUAAUUUGGAGUUGUAUACAGAAAGUUAUGAUCAUUUUACUGGGAAUGUGUCAGUAGCGUGGGAGCGCGUAGCCAGCGCUAAUUGAGUUUUCUUCUGCCUCACUAGCGCGGGAUUAGCGCGGACGCGCUAGUGUCAGUCCUCUAAAUACACCUAAGGACGGGAAAUGACGGACUUUGAGUCAUUUCUCAAGCCUAGGGCUUCCCCAACAUCCCCAAUUCGACCAAGGCACCCAAUUGCACUCCUAAGGUAAGAUUUUUGGAGUAUUUUGAGUUGAUUACUACUCCCAAACACUUAUAUUAACAUGGAUUGAUCUUAAAAGUCCUUAGAUUUUCAAGAAAUUCCUUCAAGAACUCAAAGGAAGGUUUUGCAAGAUUUCUUCCAAAAGGUAAUCCUACACCCUUAGACUCACAUAUAUGAAUAUAUUAUGGGAAUAUGAGUAUGAAUCAAGUAUUACAACUUAUUGUAUGGUGAUUGGAAGCCAUAAAUUCCUAAUUUAAAUACAUGAAUAUGGUAGGGAUUUAAAGGUGUUUGACUUGGUCCAUCCCAGUUGAUAUUUUUACCGCGUAAUUGAUAAAGAUUUAUUGUUUUUCACUAUGAUUGGGCUUAUAGCCAUAUUUGGGCUUCGUGCCAAUUAUCUGAAAUAUUUUGUGAAUUUACAUCACUAUUUUCCUCACGAAUUGAAAUAUUAUUUGAACUAAGUCCAAUUGAAUUAUAUUAUUUUGUGAACUCAGCUACAUUUAGACUCAACACGAGAUUUAAUGAUAUUUAUAAUGUUGUUGAGCUGAGCACUAUUGUUUUACUGAUGCCCAAGAGGCUUAUGAUUAUUUUCUGGACUGAUUGAGGCCGAGGGCCAUACGUGAGGAUAUGUUGAGUGAUGUGAGGAGGCUUUCAGGCCUCGAGUGUUAUAUGAGGAGGCUUUCAGGCCCCGUGUGUGAUGUGUGAAGGCUUUCAGGCCUAUUGAUAUUGCGCUUGGGCUGUAGGAGCCCCUCCGGAGUCUGUACACACCCCCAGUGAGCGCAGGGUACCCAGGUGAGUUGGGAGUGGGCCCGAGAGGCCGUUGCUUGUGUGUGUGAGUUAGGAGUGAGCCCGAGGGGCUGAUGUUGUGUGCUGGUGAGUUGGGAGUGAGCCUGAGGGGCUGAUACUAUACUAAGAUUUACAUAUUGAGCCCAAAGGGCAAGCCUUUGAUUUAUCCUUACUGUGGAAAUUAAUUGGCUUCACUGUUUUAAAAGAAGAAUUAUUUGAUACUCACGGUUUUACUGUAUAACUGAUUUUACUGCUUGGGAUAACGCUAUAUUGUGUCGCUAUGAGAUUUUAUGUUUUCAGUCGUUAUUUAUUUUUAUUACUCACUGGGUCGGAGUACUCACAUUACUCCCUGCACCAUGUGUGCAGAUACAGGCAGAGCAGAGUUUGCUCCUGAGCACAGAUUCUUUCCAGACCAGGCGGUGACUAGGAGUAACGAGGUAGUUGUUGACGUCCGCAGCCCCAUUUUCUCCCUUAUCUUUUUUAUUUAUGAUAAUUCCAGACUUUGUAAAAUAUUAGUAAACUCUGUAGUAUCUCAUGACUCGUGACACCCCAAUUUCGG
RNAcentral lists this long non-coding RNA (4898 nucleotides) under Nicotiana tabacum (common tobacco). RNAcentral's name for it is "long non-coding RNA (NTAB_LNC000937)". Lineage: Eukaryota; Viridiplantae; Streptophyta; Magnoliopsida; Solanales; Solanaceae. The record is from RNAcentral.